Arachis ipaensis is the source of this 693-nucleotide non-coding RNA. The record is from RefSeq and is a predicted model, not a curated record. NCBI's taxonomy places the organism in Eukaryota, Viridiplantae, Streptophyta, Magnoliopsida, Fabales, Fabaceae.
AAGUCGCUGCUUGAAAGGUUCGAUUCCUUGCCCCUCGUCUUGCUUGAAACCAUCGUGAAGAAUUGCGAGAAGGCUUUCUCUGAAGUCGCUGCUGAGAGGGUUCUUGAUGAUAUGGUUAGGUUAAUUGACGAUCCUCAAACUGUUUUAAUAACCGCAACAAGGCUUUGAUCAUGAUUGAGGCUUGAGGCGAAUCCACCAUCGAGCUUCACUAUCUCCCUGUUUACGAAGAAACUUACAAGUCUGAAAUCAAAGGGUAUUCGGUUCUCUGGCUGUCACAACGAGAGCUUGGCGCCUAUUUUCACUCCUCCGCGUUCGGUGUCUGAGGUUGAACUUGAUCUUCCACGCCAGACUCAGCAUAAUGAUAUUCCUGUGCAGAGUUUUACUCCUAAACAAACUAAGGAAGCUUUUGAUGUUGCUAGAAACAGCAUUGAACUUCUUUCUACUGUGUUGUCUUCUCCACAACAAGAUGUCUUGCAGGUAUGGAUCUCUCCUAUUUCAAUCUGGGUAAAGAGUGUUGGUGUUCUGAUCUAGCUUGGUACCAAAUCCAACGCUUAUGAGUGAAGAAGGUCCUGUUUUGCUUUGCUUUUGUGCAAGUUGAACUGGUUGCUCCUGCGUAGUUGUGAAGGAUUUUGGAGAAGAACAUGAAGCCUAUAAUGUCCUUCAGCACGUUAAAGCUCAAUGAGUAAGAAGAAU